CAGCAGCCACGGUAAUACGGAGGGAGCUAGCGUUGUUCGGAAUCACUGGGCGUAAAGCGCACGUAGGCGGCUAUUCAAGUCAGGGGUGAAAGCCCGGGGCUCAACCCCGGAACUGCCUUUGAAACUAGAUAGCUUGAAUCUUGGAGAGGCGAGUGGAAUUCCGAGUGUAGAGGUGAAAUUCGUAGAUAUUCGGAAGAACACCAGUGGCGAAGGCGACUCGCUGGACAAGUAUUGACGCUGAGGUGCGAAAGCGUGGGGAGCAAACAGGAUUAGAUACCCCUGUAGUCCCUGUCUCUUAUAC
Molecule: ribosomal RNA, 301 nt
Filed under: uncultured bacterium
Lineage: Bacteria
Description: partial 16S ribosomal RNA
Rfam family: Bacterial small subunit ribosomal RNA
Source: RNAcentral